Molecule: ribosomal RNA, 1394 nt
Filed under: uncultured bacterium
Lineage: Bacteria
Description: bacterial SSU rRNA
Rfam family: Bacterial small subunit ribosomal RNA
Source: RNAcentral
UAGAGUUUGAUCCUGGCUCAGGAUGAACGCUAGCUACAGGCUUAACACAUGCAAGUCGAGGGGAAACGGCGUUCUAGCUUGCUAGAACGGACGUCGACCGGCGCACGGGUGAGUAACGCGUAUCCAACCUGGCCCGAAGUAGGGAAUAAUCCGUAGAAAUGCGGUCUAAUGCCCUAUGUGGUUCGAAGAAGACAUCCGAUUUGAAUUAAAAAUUCAUCGCUUCGGGAUGGGGAUGCGUCUGAUUAGGCAGAAGGCGGGGCAACGGCCCACCUUACCGACGAUCAGUAGGGGUUCUGAGAGGAAAGUCCCCCACAUUGGAACUGAGACACGGUCCAAACUCCUACGGGAGGCAGCAGUGAGGAAUAUUGGUCAAUGGCCGGAAGGCUGAACCAGCCAAGUAGCGUGCAGGAUGACGGCCCUAUGGGUUGUAAACUGCUUUUGUACGGGGAUAAAGUGGGUCACGUGUGACUUAUUGCAGGUACCGUACGAAUAAGGACCGGCUAAUUCCGUGCCAGCAGCCGCGGUAAUACGGAAGGUCCGGGCGUUAUCCGGAUUUAUUGGGUUUAAAGGGAGCGCAGGCCGCCUGGUAAGCGUGUUGUGAAAUGUAGGGGCUCAACCUUUGCAUUGCAGCGCGAACUGCCGGGCUAGAGUACGCACGACGUUGGCGGAAUUUGCCGUGUAGCGGUGAAAUGCUUAGAUAUGGCGAAGAACUCCGAUUGCGAAGGCAGCUGGCGGGAGCGCAACUGACGCUCGUGCUCGAAAGUGCGGGUAUCGAACAGGAUUAGAUACCCUGGUAGUCCGCACGGUAAACGAUGGACGCCCGCUAUCCGUCCUUUGGGAUGUGUGGCCAAGCGAAAGCGUUAAGCGUCCCACCUGGGGAGUACGCCGGCAACGGUGAAACUCAAAGGAAUUGACGGGGGCCCGCACAAGCGGAGGAACAUGUGGUUUAAUUCGAUGAUACGCGAGGAACCUUACCCGGGCUUGAAUUGCAGACGAACGACCAAGAGAUUGGAAGGCCCUCCGGGGCGUCUGUGAAGGUGCUGCAUGGUUGUCGUCAGCUCGUGUCGUGAGAUGUUGGGUUAAGUCCCGCAACGAGCGCAACCCUUAUGGUUAGUUGCUACGCAAGAGCACUCUAGCCAGACUGCCGUUGACAAAACGGAGGAAGGUGGGGACGACGUCAAAUCAUCAUGCCCCUUACGUCCUGGGCUACACACGUAAUACAAUGGCGAUCAACAGAGGGAAGCAAUACAGUGAUGUGGAGCAAAUCCCUAAACAUCGUCUCAGUUCGGACUGCAGGCUGCAACCCGCCUGCACGAAGUCGGAAUUGCUAGUAAUCGCGGAUCAGCAUGCCGCGGUGAAUACGUUCCCGGGCCUUGUACUCACCGCCCGUCAAG